AAACUGCUGAAUUUCUCUUGCAGGGAAAGGAGGCUUCGAGUUGAAGGCACCGAGCAUUGUGAGACUUCCAAUCCAGCAUGAACAAAAUCCCUGGGCUGUAUGAAGAUCCAGUGGUUGUCGCUAAACGGCAGGAACAGCAGUACCACCUCCUCUCGCAGCUGCAGAAUCUAGUCAAAGACUUGUCAAGCUCGUGUCAGCAGCGAUUGUCGUAUGACAUACUGAGCAACCUGGCCUUGGCCUUGAUCGAUGGUACUGUCUUUGAGAUCGUGCAGGGUUUGCUUGAGAUUCAACAUCUGACUGAGAAGAAUCUGUACAACCAACGCCUGAAGCUGCACAGUGAGCACAGAGCCCUUAAACAGGAGCUCUUGAGAAAACACAAGGAGGCAAUUCAGGGCUGCAAGGCUCACAAUCUAACUGUUCUACGAGCCACACAGCAAAGGGAGCUGGAGGCCUUGGAGCAGAGGGUUAAGGAUGAACAAAGGAUGAUGGAUGAGAAGAUAGUCUUGGAGUUGGAUCAGAAAGUGAUUGAUCAACAAAACACGCUGGAGAAAGCUGGAGUUCCAGGAUUUUAUAUUACCACAAAUCCUCAGCUUGCCUAUUCAGAGACCUAACUUCACAGGCUCAUGCGGCAGGGAAACAGGCCCUUCGGCCCACCGAGUUGAUGCCGACCAUCGAUCAUCCGUUCACACAGCAUAAUCAAGGACUAGUCGCACCCCGGUCACUCCCUCUUCUCCCCUCUCCCAUCGGGCAAAAGGAGCUGACUUUACAGAUGAAUUUGCUGGAACUGAUCCUAAAAAUGCAACAGAAAGCAUCGGAGUCGGGGAUAUGCUGAUCUAGUGGCGGGUUCCAUUUGGAUAAGAUCCAAGUUAGGCCUCAAUUUGAAUAAGGC
RNA transcript from Leucoraja erinaceus (little skate), 889 nucleotides. It is a transcript of the gene named DiGeorge syndrome critical region gene 6, with no coding region annotated. NCBI's taxonomy places the organism in Eukaryota, Metazoa, Chordata, Chondrichthyes, Rajiformes, Rajidae. The record is from RefSeq and is a predicted model, not a curated record. The transcript is spliced from 6 exons.